GACGAACGCUGGCGGCGUGCUUAACACAUGCAAGUCGAACGGUGAAAGCGGAGCUUGCUCCUCUGGAUCAGUGGCGAACGGGUGAGUAACACGUGGGCAACCUGCCCCUGACUUCGGGAUAACUCCUCGAAAGAGGUGCUAAUACCGGAUACGAAUCCUGCAGGCAUCUGCGGGAUUGGAAAGUUUUUCGGUCAGGGAUGGGCCCGCGGCCUAUCAGCUUGAUGGUGAGGUCGUGGCUCACCAAGGCGACGACGGGUAGCCGGCCUGAGAGGGCGACCGGCCACACUGGGACUGAGAAACGGACCAGACACCUCCUGGGGGCAGAAGUGGGGAAUAUUGCGCAGUGGGCGAAAGCCUGACGCAGCAACGCCGCGUGAGGGAUGACGGCCUUCGGGUUGUAAACCUCUUGCAGCAGGGAAGAAGCGAAAGUGACGGUACCUGCAGAAGAAGCACCGGCUAACUACGUGCCAGCCGCCGCAGUAA
RNAcentral lists this ribosomal RNA (483 nucleotides) under uncultured bacterium. RNAcentral describes it as "partial 16S ribosomal RNA". It matches the Rfam family "Bacterial small subunit ribosomal RNA", at positions 28 to 523 of the family's 1533-position model. The record is from RNAcentral.